CUCAGUGGCCCUCAGCUCCCCACAUUUCCUGACAAUGAGGGGGGAGCUUGUUAACAGCCUGAGUCCAACUCCUGACUUCCUCCAUGUCCUGUUUACUAUGUUUUGCAAGCAUCUCUCUGGCCACUCCUCAGAGGCCAGCAGCACUGAUUUAUACCAGCAUGGGCUGUAUUCCUAUUCCAGUCUAGCAGUUUGCCUAGAAUCAAACAGCCCAAAGGAUGAAGGACUUCCUCAUAAUGGACUGGAACCUUGAAAGGUGUUCCAGUCUUUGGAUUAAGCAAAAUCAAAGACCAUGGUGGGAUGAGUGCAUUACAUCAUGUAUGUUGGUGAAGGGAAAGAGCAGUACUUUGGUGCAUCUGUGAUUAUAAUACUUCAAAGUGUCCAAUUCCUAGUCUGUUUUCAAACUUAAUUUGAUAAGGAGCUCCUUCCAUUUCCUGUGUCCAUGAUGAGAGAACCAAAGCUCAGUCAAUGAUCGUGGUGGGAUACCUGAUGUAAUGUCCACUAAAACUCAGGAACUCCGUUUAGAAGGAUUCUCUGUGGAGUCCUCCAGAACCACCGUUGCUAGAGAAGAACUUUCCAGGCUCCAUUCACAGGAUGAGCAACUUGUUAAACCAGACUCCAACCCAGACUGGCUUUUUGUGGUGCACUAUGGAUCCUGUCAGGAACUGACCUUUUAACUGAUCUUUUUUAUGAUUGUAGCCAGAGCUCUGGAUUGAAUGGGAAAGACAGACAAAGGUGACUUAGCCACCAGCAUAUUAGCCAGGCCUGUUUCUCAUACCUCAAUUGUUUGGUUUGGCAAAACCAUGACCCUUUCCUUGUGUCCAGGUACCAAAACCAGAUAUUUUUCUCCCAGGGGCCCAUGUAGCCACUCUGUUUUUCUCUAAUCAUAGUACAUCUACAUUUCCUCGGGCACUCAAACUGAACAUGUGUUAUUGGUCUGGGCUGCAUCAUCCUCCCACCCUGCCGCCUCUCCCAAUAAGCAUCCUGUUUCAUCCUUGGCUCUGCUGCUGCUCCAGCCUGAGAAGCUCCCGGCAGGCAUUGGGCCAGUCUCUGGACUGGUGACAGGGUUAACUUCAAAAGAAGACAAAGAAUGAAAUGCCAGGAAUGAAUUCUCCAGCCCAAGACACAUCCUUCCUUGCAGGUAGCGGGGAGACAGAAGAGACUAUGGCCUCCUGCCCUGGAGGACCAGUUUCCCCUCCACUGCCUUGCUCUGACCUACUUUGUGUGAAGCUGAAGUCACAGAGCCAUAGCAAUGAAUACUAGAAAGAAAAAAAAAGGACACACACACAUACACAAAGACAGCAUUUGGCAUUUCAUCACCAAAUAACACUUGUUCAAUCCACAAAUAUGUACAGACUUGUGUGGUCAUGCCAACACCACUCAACUCAAACUAGAUAGACACAGCCCCUGACAUAUAAGAUUCUUCAGUCAAUCAGACAACCACGGAUUCAGUCAUUCUCUCACUUGUUCACUCGGCAAAGAGAUAUGUCGCAAUAUAUAUCAGUCUUCAUUUAUUUAUUAUAUAUUUUAUGCCAGACACUAAACAAGCAGCAGAGUAAUUCUGAGGAAUGAUACGUUGGAGACUACAGUUUGGUGGGGAUAAUAGAGGCAUUAAAAAUAGUAUAGCCUGAUGUGAAGAUACGUAUGGAUACAUAGAUGUAGAUAUACACACAUAUACUAUUCAUAUAUAACCAUAUGUAUGUAUAUAUUUAUCUUUCAUACACAUACAAUAGAGAUGUGUGUGAGGAGUAUAAAAUUGCCUGGGAUGGAUGAGGAGAACAUCAUAAUUGUAUUCACAGAGAGAUAAUAGUAGAGCUAAGUUGCAGGCUGGGGAUGGGGAGAGCAUAGGAGCGGCAAUAGCCUGUCAAAGGAGGCAGAGAGAAGAGAGGCUUGAGGCUGCUCAGAGAGCCACAGAGAGUGCAGAAUAAGUGGAGCAGGAAAUGACAUGAUUCUUUGGGCAGGGCCCACAUCCCAGGAGAUCCCAGAUCCCGGAAUGUCAUGCCAAAGAGGAUGGGCUUUAUUCUGAGGAUACCAGAGAUCCAUUAAUUAACUGAAUACGAUGACUAAGAGAAUGAUGCUUUCAAUAAGGAAAACCUCUGGUGCUCAAGUGGAAAAUGAAUUGAAGGGAGGUGCAACAAGCAGCAAGAAGGCUCUGGAACAGCCUAGACGAGUGCUUCCAUUUGUUGACACUGAUCAGUGUCAGAAACUGAACUUAUCACUUUACACCGUCUAAUCAGCAUCUGUCAACAAAUAUUAAUGAGAAGCAACUAGUUUCCAGGCACUGUGGAACAACCAGACUGACAGUCUUCCCAACAGAGUGCUUCCUGAGAGCUCGCCAUACGUCCAAAGGGCACAUUAUGGAUAACAUGACAGGUGUGAAUUUGAUUUCUGGAGACAGCCUACAUCCCAGUUAGAGCCUGGCAUGAAGAAUACUAAAAGCAAUAAUGCAGGACAAUAUUGGCCAACAGAACAAUAAUUGCAAUCAAAAGUUUGCUGAAG
Long non-coding RNA from Canis lupus familiaris (dog), 2496 nucleotides. RefSeq lists it as uncharacterized. The transcript is spliced from 4 exons. The record is from RefSeq and is a predicted model, not a curated record. NCBI's taxonomy places the organism in Eukaryota, Metazoa, Chordata, Mammalia, Carnivora, Canidae.